GUAGUCUCCCAUCCAAGUACUAACCAAGCCCAGCCCUGCUUAGCUUCCGAGAUCAGACGAGGUCGGGCGUGCUCAGGGUGGUAUGGCCGUAAGCUGCUGGCCCCAGCACAAUGUCUCAAUUUAUGGAUUCAACUGAUUAGGUGGCAAGUACCUGAAGUUACGAAGACAAUCCUUUAACCAUACCUGCAUGUUUGCAUAAUACCCUAACCCAAAGGCUCAGUUUAGCAUUUAUCUAACAGCACAGGCCCUGGAUUGUUGAAGAUGGCCUCAGGAACCAGCACAGGGCCUGGUGUGUUGUACAUGGCCACAGCUAGCAGCCACAGGCCCUGGUGUGGUGUAAGUGGCCUCAGCCAGCAGCCACAGGCCCUGGUGUGGUGUAAGUGGCCUCAGCCAGAGCCACAGGCCCUGGUGUGGUGUAAGUGGCCUCAGCCAGAGCCACAGGCCCUGGUGUGGUGUAAGUGGCCUCAGCCAGUGCCACAGGCCCUGGUGUGGUGUAAGUGGCCUGAGCAAGAGCCACAGACCCUGGUGUGGUGUAAUUGGCCUCAAUAGCAACUAAUGCCCUGGUGUGGUGUAGGUGGCCUCAGCCAGCAGCCACAGGCCCUGGUGUGGUGUAAGUGGCCUCAGCCACAGCCACAGGCCCUGGUGUGGUGUAAGUGGCCUCAAUAGCAACUAAUGCCCUGGUGUGGUGUAAGUGGCCUCAGCCAGCAGCCACAGGCCCUGGUGUGGUGUAAGUGGCCUCAGCCAGUGCCACAGGCCCUGGUGUGGUGUAAGUGGCCUGAGCAAGAGUCACAGACCCUGGUGUGGUGUAAUUGGCCUCAAUAGCAACUAAUGCCCUGGUGUGGUGUAGGUGGCCUCAGCCAGCAGCCACAGGCCCUGGUGUGGUGUAAGUGGCCUCAAUAGCAACUAAGGCCCUGGUGUGGUGUAAGUGGCCUCAGCCAGCAGCCACAGGCCCUGGUGUGGUGUAAGUCGCCUCAUCCAGGA
Long non-coding RNA from Astatotilapia calliptera (eastern happy), 981 nucleotides. The record is from Ensembl. NCBI's taxonomy places the organism in Eukaryota, Metazoa, Chordata, Actinopteri, Cichliformes, Cichlidae.